ACUCUCGUAGCUCAACUGGUCAGAGCCCUCGACUUAUAAUCGAGAGACUAUUGGUUCAAAUCCAAUCGGGAGUA
This 74-nucleotide transfer RNA is filed under the name Caudoviricetes sp. RNAcentral's name for it is "tRNA-Ile". It matches the Rfam family "tRNA". Rfam says of the family: Transfer RNA (tRNA) molecules are approximately 80 nucleotides in length. Their secondary structure includes four short double-helical elements and three loops (D, anti-codon, and T loops). Lineage: Duplodnaviria; Heunggongvirae; Uroviricota; Caudoviricetes. The record is from RNAcentral.